Long non-coding RNA from Daphnia pulicaria, 466 nucleotides. RefSeq lists it as uncharacterized. The transcript has 2 exons. NCBI's taxonomy places the organism in Eukaryota, Metazoa, Arthropoda, Branchiopoda, Diplostraca, Daphniidae. The record is from RefSeq and is a predicted model, not a curated record.
AGAUUUACGUAUCAGGAGUUCGACAAUUUCUAAUCAAAGACGACCUCUGAGCACCUUACCUGCUGCGAGAAAUAACUUGAAACGCUAGACCCACAUCCAUGGCCAUCGGGGAAGUUUUUGUGAUCUGAGAAUAGUAACCAAAAUGAUGUGAAUCAUUCAAUCGUAUCAGCAACUUUUAGGUAGCUAUUCCUUUUUUUUUACCUUGCAAUCAGUGAAAUAUUCUCCGGUAAUGUCAGCUACUUCGUCAGCUACAGCCAGGUGAAUAGUGGUCUGCGCACCUUGUUUGGCAUUCUGAAAUCAGGAAGUUUCAAAUGAACUUGCGCUUAAUUGGCAUGCCGUUUUUUUUUUUUUGUGUCGCAUGUGACUAACCUUGAAGAAAGGGGCGAUACAGGCGGUAAUAAUUUUGACUUCUAUUUAUAAAACAAAAUUGAGAAGUCAAUGAGCGUAAUUAAAUCGUACGACUUCU